UUGGAGGGCAAGUCUGGUGCCAGCAGCCGCGGUAAUUCCAGCUCCAAUAGCGUAUAUUAAAGUUGUUGCAGUUAAAAAGCUCGUAGUUGAAUUUCGGGAUCUGUCCAUUGGUCGGGCUUCACGGUCCGUACUGGUGUGAUGGGUUCCUACCUUCUGAAUAACCAGCAUGCCAUUUAGUUGGUGCGCCGGGGAAGCAGAGCUAUUACCUUGAAAAAAUUAGAGUGCUUAAAGCAGGCUAGUGCUUGAAUAGAUUAGCAUGGAAUAAUAAAAUAGGACGGCAUGGUUCUAUUUUGUCGGUUUCUAGGAUCACCGUAAUGAUUAAUAGGGAUAGUUGGGGGCAUUAGUAUUCAAUUGUCAGAGGUGAAAUUCUUGGAUUUAUUGAAGACUAACUUCUGCGAAAGCAUUUGCCAAGGAUGUUUUCAUUAAUCAAGAACGAAAGUUAGGGGAUCGAAGACGAUCAGAUACCGUCGUAGUCUUAACCAUAAACUAUGCCGACUAGGGAUCGGACGAUGUUAAUUUUUUAAUGACUCGUUCGGCGCCUUACGGGAAAC
This 551-nucleotide ribosomal RNA is filed under the name uncultured Glomeromycotina. RNAcentral describes it as "SSU rRNA". It matches the Rfam family "Eukaryotic small subunit ribosomal RNA", at positions 548 to 1098 of the family's 1831-position model. Lineage: Eukaryota; Fungi; Glomeromycota. The record is from RNAcentral.